This 256-nucleotide ribosomal RNA is filed under the name uncultured bacterium. RNAcentral's name for it is "partial 16S ribosomal RNA". It matches the Rfam family "Bacterial small subunit ribosomal RNA", at positions 521 to 776 of the family's 1533-position model. The record is from RNAcentral.
UAAUACGGGGGGUGCAAGCGUUAUCCGGAAUCACUGGGUUUAAAGGGUGCGUAGGCGGGACAUUAAGUCAGUGGUGAAAGUCUGUUGCUUAACGAUAGAAUUGCCGUUGAUACUGAUGUUCUUGAAUUGGGUUGAGGUUAGCGGAAUGUGACAUGUAGCGGUGAAAUGCAUAGAUAUGUCAUGGAACACCAAUUGCGAAGGCAGCUAGCUGGGCCUUGAUUGACGCUGAGGCACGAAAGCGUGGGGAGCAAACAGG